GACGAACGCUGGCGGCACGCCUAACACAUGCAAGUCGAACGGACUUAACAGAGCUUGCUUUUUUAAGUUAGUGGCGGACUGGUGAGUAACACGUGAGCAACCUGCCUCUGAGAGGGGGAUAGCUUCUGGAAACGGAUGGUAAUACCCCAUAAAAUAUAAAUAUCGCAUGAUAGCUAUAUAAAAGAAAUUCGCUAAGAGAUGUGCUCGCGUCUGAUUAGAUAGUUGGUGAGGUAACGGCUCACCAAGUCGACGAUCAGUAGCCGGACUGAGAGGUUGAACGGCCACAUUGGGACUGAGACACGGCCCAGACUCCUACGGGAGGCAGCAGUGGGGAAUAUUGCACAAUGGAGGGAACUCUGAUGCAGCGAUGCCGCGUGGAGGAAGAAGGUUUUCGGAUUGUAAACUCCUUUUAUCAGGGACGAUAAUGACGGUACCUGAAGAAAAAGCUCCGGCUAACUACGUG
Molecule: ribosomal RNA, 463 nt
Filed under: uncultured bacterium
Lineage: Bacteria
Description: partial 16S ribosomal RNA
Rfam family: Bacterial small subunit ribosomal RNA
Source: RNAcentral